This is a long non-coding RNA of Teleopsis dalmanni, 505 nucleotides long. RefSeq lists it as uncharacterized. The transcript is spliced from 4 exons. The record is from RefSeq and is a predicted model, not a curated record. Lineage: Eukaryota; Metazoa; Arthropoda; Insecta; Diptera; Diopsidae.
AGAAAAAAAUGGUAUAUAUUUUUAUCUGGAACACUGGAAUUGUGGAAUUGUAUGUUUCCAGUUUGUUUCUUUGGACUUCACAGUAAAAAUUUAUAAAAGUUUUAUGAGGAAUACCAAGUUCAAGUGAACACAAGGAUUCUCUCCUUCACCUGACCACAAAUUCAUUUUACUGAUCCAGAAUACGCUCAAGUUGAAUCAAUACUUCUAGUAAAACUGAAAUAUGGAUCCAGGAUUCAAGUAUUUCAUCGUUGACAAAAUUUUGGAUAUAUUUAUUUUGAAGCAGUUAAACUUUUUUGACGCAGAGUUGGUUUACAAAUUUUUUGCUGAUCUCGGUAUCAAUUGCACCCAAAUUUAUGCAGGCGAUCAGGAGUUCUUCCAGUUUAUUAAUCUGCUUUGCUGCCUUGCUUUGCGUUAAUCAUCAUGAUUUUUGAUUAAAUAGUAUUUGUUUGUCGUUAUGUGACAAUAAAAAAAUCAUCGGUUAACUAAAACACUCUUUUUAUUUUAU